CUUGGACCCAAGCUCCAGCUUGCUAAUAAACCCUCGUGUGCUUUCAUCGGUGUCGGCUCCUCGGUGGUUUUCUCGGAUUUGCAAUCUUGGGCACAUUUUUUGGCCAGGCAAACAUCUAAUUACCAAAUGUCUAUCUGCUCUUCUAAUUGCCCUAGGAAUUGCAUUUAUUUCCUCUGAAGUCCUGGAUCCUUAGACAUAUACACAUUUUCCCUGAAUGUCUUUGGAAUUUCCAUGUCUAUGUGAAUUUUCCACAGCCUUCUUUGGGCCAUUCAGAAAGUUUACCCGUGUACCCGAGGACAUCAUCAAAGACAUUCAAACUGUGGACUAGAAAAAUCUGUCAGAUUGCCACUGCCUGCCCUCAUUCUAUUUGAAGAUGCUUUGAGCAUGACAUCUAGAAAUCUUGACUGGCAGCUCUCAGGACUCAUUCACUGGGUUUAAAUUUGCCCCAACCAUUACCCUUUGUGUUUCAAAAUAAAAGAAUUUCCAUUGAAAUGCCACUUAUUAAUUACCUGACCACUUACACGAUAUAGGCCUCACUUUGGGAGACCAGUGGCAUCACUUUCUUCUGAAAUGAAACACAAUUGUUUAACUGAACUGACCUAUUCUCAAUACAGACUGGUCUAAUGAGAUAUGGAGCAAUCUCUCAAUUUAACUUCUGUACUGUGAAACUUCUUUUUUGAAGUUUCGAAGGCAGGACUGAAGAGCAGAAUUUGUCACCUCAUAGUAGGUCACUUUGGCAUGAGCAUUAUUUUGAGCUGAAGGCAAUCAAAAUCCAGUAGAUUCAGGAAAAGCUCUUUAUCUCUCCCAGCCCAAAUGCCUAAAUUUACACUGUAAAUGGGUCUUGUACCGGGAAGAGAGCUGUUGUUAGGGAUUUCUUUUUACCUAAGAAACUUACCUGAAGAGAGCAACCUUUGUUUUCCAAACAUCUCCUUUUACCUUCCUGUGAAUAAUGGCCUUCCUUCUGCUUUCUAAUCCUAGACCUGUAACUCUUUCCUAAACAUAAGUCUCAAUUACCUGGCUGCCUAUUGGGUCCCAUAUUGUUAUGAAGCUCAUGUACAUAUAAAAUGUUUUUUUCCUGUUAAUCUUCCACCCAUUUAAUAAUUAGACCAGCCAAAUAACUUAGAAGGAAAGAAGGGAAAACUUUUCUGACCCUAUGCUUGUCUUAGAUGUAGGUCAUAUCACACAGCUUCUUGCCUUAAGAAUCUUAUCACCUGGUAAGUAAAAUAAAACAGGUAUACAGGUAACUGCCAGUAGGAAGCAUUACAUUACAUGUCCUAAACAAAAGAUAGGAAGAGAACUAAGAAGGGUCCAUGCAAAUGCUAAAAUGCUAAGGAGGCUCAGAUGUCAGGUGGUGGCGAAGGGAGUAAAUAAACUGUACAAGUUUCAAAUGAAUUAAAACGAAUAGGAAUCAAGUGAAUUGCAAGGAUUUAGGAUAGAUUCAUGAAACAAACCUGUAUUCAUGGGAUCUUUCAAUUUUUGAGAACAUAUUACAUUUGAAUAUCUUUCCUUAGUGGUGUGUGUGAAUAAUCUGUUUAAAAUAAUUACAAUAAAACUUUCAUUAAGAUCUUGGAUUUUUGUUCAUCGUAGAAAACAACAACAGAAUUAUAUGUCCUGCGCAUAACUACGUGCAAUUUUGGAAACAACAUACAAGGAGAUUCUCUGAGCUGUUAGAAACAAAGGAUAGCUUUUUUUUCUUUCUUCUCUUACUUCCAUUAAUGUUGACUUUUCUUGUUUAAAGCUAUAAGAAAUAUUCUGAAUACUAAUGUGACAAAAUCAGAUGCAAUCCCCAAAUACCAUAUUUGCUUAAUGAUAAAUACCUAGUCCUUAUUACCUUUAAGAAAAUUUAGACAAUUCUCUUUGUCCUGUAGCCUUGGGGUAGUGAGGAAAGUUAGGCAUAGUAUUUUAAUGUUCAUUCCUCUUUUGCUGUUAGCUAUCAUUAAUCCCUAAUGCCUGGAACGGCAUAAAUUUCUUCUACAAAGGAAGCCCACAGGUCGUUUUUAUUUGGAGCAGUUUUUUUUCUAUGUGCCACAAUAUAUUCCAUUAUGUAUUACCUCGUCUGAAUGCAAAACUGUUUUAUAUGCAGAUUUAAGGUAAUGAGCACUCAAGUUUAAAAAAUGGUUCUGGUAUCCUGUAGCUUCUCAAUAAUAAUAUACUCUUACAUUCCAACAGAGAAGGAUGGAUUAUGGGUUUUUCAAUUUGCAUCAGGCAUAUUAAUUGCAGAGUAGGGCUUCCACAUAAAAUAUCAAUGUACUGGAACAAACUGUUAAUGUACCAGAAUAUGAACACUUACACUCGGUUCUGGAACUUUCAAAGGAAUCAUCCUUUUUUUUCCUUCUCUCUCUUUCUCUCUCUCUCUCUCUCUCUUGUUUUUAUACCUCUGGAGAUGGUCGAGUUUUUUAGUCAGUGAAUGAGAACUAUGUAACCUCUGUUUCUCUGAAAAAUCCCUAAUUAGAUUAAGUGCAGUAGGGCUUUUCUAGUCAUUCUGCUGGGGAACAAUACAACAAGCCAUUAGGGAAAGAGAAUAAUUUAGAGGAUCUGGAGGAAACUUUAUUUUAGAGUUGCUUUGAAGAAACAUGACAUGGAAGAUCAACUUUAUGUUGUAGUUGGAGGCAGAGAAGCACACUCAACUUUUAUUUGCAUUAUAUUUCUCAACUGUGAAGAAAAUACCUAAAACUAGUAAAACUGUAAUUGGAAGUUUUAUAAGUAAUUUUCAGCUGAGGUUUGGCACUGUGGGCUUAAUUAUAGAAAACUGUGUAUUAUGUGCGUUACUGCAUGGAAGUACUUGAAUUAUGGGUUGUCUUGUAGGCAUAAAAUUGUGAAUGUCCAUUUAAAAAAAUUGUAACAAACUCCUUGUGCUUUAUCUUUUUUAAAAGGUUGGAUAACUAAUCUAAAUUACAGAUACAGAUUGGUUAGGUUAGAAUACAGAUUUGAAUAUUUAAAAGUAUGUGUUCUAUAUUUUAUAAUGUGGAUGUUUUCCUAUGCUGAAAAGAUAAAGCAGCAGGAAGAAAUAGUUUGAGGUUUAAAGGCACAGACUACAUUUUUUUUUGUAGGCUGUACAUAGUAUGUAAAUUCUAAGUAAUUGAUGAAUAUUCAUUGAAUAAAAUUCUCAUCUAUUGUAUCCUAAAUUGUCACUUCUUUUACAGUUAUUUUAUCCCAUGUUCUUUUUGAUGCUUAAUGAAAUUUGUAAUUUUAUUAUGCUCAAACAGCAGUAAAAUGGGAACCCACUUCUUAAAACCAUUCUGAGAAAGACAAUAUUUGAGUUUGCAUGCCACAGCUAUAAGCAAAGAAUUAUUUCACUAGGAAAGAGAAGAAAUACCACCCACAUAAUCCAACAGGAGACCUGAUUCAUUUUGUGUCUGGAGCAAUCUGCACAAUGUUACAAACUGAAAUGAAUUUCCUUUUCAAUCUUCAGGUGAAAAAAAUAGUGAGAAUGCCCUGCCUUCCCAAUUGAUGUAAAUUUCUCUUCUUACCUCUUAAGAAAUCAUGUGUGUUUGUUUUAUUUUGCAAUGGUAGCUUUGACCUCAUAGCUGUUAAAAGGCUCAGGGUGUCAUGGGUCAAAAACUAAGGCAAGAUAGACUUUUCUCAGCACUAAAACACAACCUAAUCUAUGGUAAAAGUAAUUUUGAUACUGUUUAAAGAAAUAGCCUUGGGCAACAUGAAUGUUCUUUUGCUGUAGCAUGCUGGCUGAAAAACAGGCAUAGAUACAUGCUCAAUGAAGAGACCCCGGUAAAUCACUAGCAUAUAAACUGUGCAUCAGUUAGGUGCUAACAUUUUGAGAAAUGAUGAAAGUGUGUUGUUCUCAUUUUGUAUUACAUAGAGUGGGUGUAUUUUAAACUCAAGGAAUUUGAUUUCUAGUAGGAAAGCCAAAUAAAGUGUUGCAAUUGUUUUAUUUAUGGGCAGUUCUUUCAACUGAAUUCCUUUUAUUUCCUAUUUUUUUUCUCCUUGUUUGAAACGCCACAUAACACAAGAUGCUGCUUGUUUUGUGUGCCUUUUUAUAUUGUGAACAAAGAUGGAAAAUAGGUUCAAAUACCUCAUUCAAAAAUGUUUUACUUAAUUUCAUCAGUGGACAAGAUAACAUCAUGUUUUCUGAAUUUGUUUUUCUUGGUAAACAUCACUAAAAAAAGUUUAAUCCUUAUGAAGAAUACCAUAAGUCUUAAUUUGAUACCUAUAGAGGUUUAAGUUUUUUAUGAACUUCUACUAUUUAAUGAAAAUUGCUUUGGAUCAUAAUAUUUUUAGAGGUAGUGAUUAAAUGCACUUACCCCUCCUCCUGAUACAUCUACCUUCUAUGUUCUUAGAUAAAAAUCAAAUGAAAAUUAAUCUCACGUUCUAAGUGAUGUUAACUGGAUUCAGGGAUCUUAUGAUGUCCUUUACUUCCUUUGAGGCAUCAUUUGGCAACACAAGUACAAUUCCAGCAUAGCUGCUGAUUUUUAGUUGCAGUUUUUAUUUUUUAAUUCUUGUGGGGAGAGGGAUUUAAUCUCUCAAACUUCGUUGGUAAAUUACAUUGAUGAAUGCAUUUUGACAGGAAGCUUUACUGAAAUGAAAAGGACUCAUGUGUAAGGGUGGGAAUAACUAUUCUAAGAGCUUUUUCAUGGUGCUCGUUACCAGGGAAACCACUGCUUUGUCUGUACGUGUUUGGAAUGGCUGCCUCAUUAGAACUCAGGCUCCCAGACAGUCACUUUGUGGUCCUGAUGAAAUGAAAGGGAUGAACCUAUUUUAGUUGAUUAACUCCAAAUUAAGAAAAAUAGCAUACUUAAAAGACAGAUUUCCAAAAGCUAAACAUAUGGAAUUAUGGGGAAACUGUAAAGUGACUGGUCUAUGUCAUAGCUACAAUAUUAUCACAGCAGACUGAAUUCAUUGACUCGGGCAUAAAGGUAUUGAAAAGCUGUGUCAGAAACCCACAUUGGGGUAGUAUUCAUUUUUCUUUAAACAAAGCAGUGUCAUACCCAGAAAUUAUAUGGGCCGAUAUUAACAGCACAGAGGGCAAUAUAACUUUGAUGAUUGCUCUAAGCUUAAAUAUAGUAAAAAAAAAAAAAAAAAGAUAGCAAGCAGGCAUGAAAACAUUUCAAGUUCAA
Molecule: long non-coding RNA, 5072 nt
Organism: Canis lupus familiaris (dog)
Lineage: Eukaryota; Metazoa; Chordata; Mammalia; Carnivora; Canidae
Exons: 3
Source: RefSeq, a predicted model, not a curated record